Dendroctonus ponderosae (mountain pine beetle) is the source of this 990-nucleotide long non-coding RNA. RefSeq lists it as uncharacterized. NCBI's taxonomy places the organism in Eukaryota, Metazoa, Arthropoda, Insecta, Coleoptera, Curculionidae. The record is from RefSeq and is a predicted model, not a curated record. The transcript has 2 exons.
CAUCUGUCGCAAACGUCACAAACAUGUCAACAAACGUUUGUCAGACUGACAGUUUUUAUGUCAGUUACCGGUUUAUAGUCCAUUUUGACUGUUGAUGCCCUCAAAGUGCUUUUAAGUAACAGUUCGCGAGUUAAUUCAUGUGAAAAGGCUCCAAUUCCUUACUAAAUGACUUGUGCGGAUGUGGAGAUUCAUUGACCCAACUAUCUGAAAAAUUUGUAGUUUGUCCCGGUGAACGCUCAGUUAUUUCGAGCCCUGAACCUGGCAAGCUGGAACGAAGCAACACGCAAGCCGCCUUGCGACUCGCAUACACCUCUAUGGGUGCGAGAGAGACAGCCGAAGCAAACUACGUUCCUGAAUGGAGCUGAUUUCAAUCAUUCGACUCGCGGUUGUGUGAGCACCCGAAACAAGCCCACGUCUGAAGAUGCUUAUCAUGCGAGUUAGCGAAACGUCACAUUUCUUUAUUAUAUUAUAUGUUAUAUCCAUAUUCAAUCAACCCAAUUCGAGCACAGUGGCAACAAAGUCUUAACAUUCGACAUCAAGUGUCGCGACAAUAAAAAUAGACGAAAUAAUUGCACCAGAUUCCGAUAGUGCAGUUGCGGUGCCGCUAAUGGCCGCAAUAGACAAGCAUUUCUCACGCUUUUAACGAAUACCCAGCUCGACAAAAGGUGUUCUAAUUGCACUAAUCUGGUUUCGGGGGGGACCAGCGCCCCUCUCCUAACGGCUCUUUUUAUUGUCGAACCCAUUAUCCUUGCUAAUUACACCGUGAGACAUGGCGCCAAGGCUUUCCAAACGAACAAACAAACUAACAUCCGAUUUGCGUAGUUGUUUACCGGCGAAAAAACGGGACUGAUGUAACGAACCGCCGUUUAUUUAACGUACUUUGGGCCGGAAAUCUACAGGGUUUAGGUUUGGCCAUUGUGUUGCCUUUUGAAGGGUAAAUUGGAAAUUACAUUGUGAACACUAAACUGUUAUUAGAUCGUCCAUACUGCA